Molecule: ribosomal RNA, 253 nt
Filed under: uncultured bacterium
Lineage: Bacteria
Description: partial 16S ribosomal RNA
Rfam family: Bacterial small subunit ribosomal RNA
Source: RNAcentral
UACGUAGGGGGCAAGCGUUGUCCGGAAUCAUUGGGCGUAAAGCGCGCGUAGGCGGCCCGGUAAGUCCGCUCUGAAAGUCCAGGGCUCAACCCUGGAAAGCGGGUGGAUACUGCCGGGCUAGAAUCCGGAAGAGGCGAGUGGAAUUCCUGGUGUAGCGGUGGAAUGCGCAGAUAUCGGGAAGAACACCCGUGGCGAAGGCGGUUCUCUGGGACGGUACUGACGCUGAGACGCGAAAGCGUGGGGAGCGAACAGG